Molecule: ribosomal RNA, 269 nt
Filed under: uncultured bacterium
Lineage: Bacteria
Description: partial 16S ribosomal RNA
Rfam family: Bacterial small subunit ribosomal RNA
Source: RNAcentral
ACGCUCGACAGUGUCAGCCGCCGCGGUAAUACGAAGGGGGCUAGCGUUGUUCGGAAUUACUGGGCGUAAAGCGCACGUAGGCGGAUAUUUAAGUCAGGGGUUGAAAUCCCAGAGCUCAACUCUGGAACUGCCUUUGAUACUGGGUAUCUUGAGUAUGGGAAGAGGUAAGUGGAAUUCCGAGUGUAGAGGUGAAAUUCGUAGAUAUUCGGAAGAACACCAGUGGCGAAGCGGNUUACUGGUCCAUUACUGACGCUGAGGUGCGAAAGCGU